ACACUCCUACGGGAGGCAGCAGUGGGGAAUAUUGGACAAUGGGCGCAAGCCUGAUCCAGCCAUGCCGCGUGAGUGAUGAAGGCCCUAGGGUUGUAAAGCUCUUUCACCGGUGAAGAUAAUGACGGUAACCGGAGAAGAAGCCCCGGCUAACUUCGUGCCAGCAGCCGCGGUAAUACGAAGGGGGCUAGCGUUGUUCGGAUUUACUGGGCGUAAAGCGCACGUAGGCGGACUAUUAAGUCAGGGGUGAAAUCCCGGGGCUCAACCCCGGAACUGCCUUUGAUACUGGUAGUCUUGAGUUCGAGAGAGGUGAGUGGAAUUCCGAGUGUAGAGGUGAAAUUCGUAAAUAUUCGGAGGAACACCAGUGGCGAAGGCGGCUCACUGGCUCGAUACUGACGCUGAGGUGCGAAAGCGUGGGGAGCAAACAGGAUUAGAAACCCGAGUAGUCCCAUGA
Molecule: ribosomal RNA, 451 nt
Filed under: uncultured organism
Description: partial 16S ribosomal RNA
Rfam family: Bacterial small subunit ribosomal RNA
Source: RNAcentral